AUUGAACGCUGGCGGCAGGCUUAACACAUGCAAGUCGAGCGGAGAUGAGGUGCUUGCACCUUAUCUUAGCGGCGGACGGGUGAGUAAUGCUUAGGAAUCUGCCUAUUAGUGGGGGACAACAUUCCGAAAGGAAUGCUAAUACCGCAUACGUCCUACGGGAGAAAGCAGGGGAUCUUCGGACCUUGCGCUAAUAGAUGAGCCUAAGUCGGAUUAGCUAGUGGGUGGGGUAAAGGCCUACCAAGGCGACGAUCUGUAGCGGGUCUGAGAGGAUGAUCCGCCACACUGGGACUGAGACACGGCCCAGACUCCUACGGGAGGCAGCAGUGGGGAAUAUUGGACAAUGGGGGAAACCCUGAUCCAGCCAUGCCGCGUGUGUGAAGAAAGCCUUAUGGUUGUAAAGCACUUUAAGCGAGGAGGAGGCUACUGAGACUAAUACUCUUGGAUAGUGGACGUUACUCGCAGAAUAAGCACCGGCUAACUCUGUGCCAGCAGCCGCCGUAA
RNAcentral lists this ribosomal RNA (501 nucleotides) under uncultured bacterium. Its description in RNAcentral is "partial 16S ribosomal RNA". It matches the Rfam family "Bacterial small subunit ribosomal RNA", at positions 30 to 523 of the family's 1533-position model. The record is from RNAcentral.